This 1175-nucleotide long non-coding RNA is filed under the name Coffea arabica (coffee). RNAcentral's name for it is "long non-coding RNA (CARA_LNC002494)". Lineage: Eukaryota; Viridiplantae; Streptophyta; Magnoliopsida; Gentianales; Rubiaceae. The record is from RNAcentral.
CGCCACCCCCGUACCCUCCGUGGCCUCCUCCGUAGCCUCCUCCAUGGCCACCUCCGUAGCCACCUCCAUGGUACUUGGCUUCUCCUUCCUCAUUUGUCUCAACUGUCUUGGCUGCAAUAAAGAUAAAUAAUGUAAUCGCAAUUUUGAAAAUGUAAAGUUUGGACCAAAUUGUGUACAUGCUUUUAGGUUACCGAGUAUUUUAGCCAAACACAUCGUAAUUCUUUUGAAAAUUUGCCUUUUAACGUAUGUGUCAAAUUAUUAUUUUACAGAUAUCUUUAAAAUGGCAAGCCUGUUUAAGCAUUCAUGAUUAAUCAUGACCUAGCUAGAAGCUGGCUUUAUUAGUUCUGAGGCUCAGCAUCUGCAGCCUCACCAGGAUGUCCACCAUGGCCGCCACCCCCGUACCCUCCAUGUCCAUAACCACCAUGGCCGCCACCCCCUCCUCCGUAGCCACCUCCAUGGCGUCCUCCGUAGCGACCUCCAUGGUACUUGGCUUCUCCUUCCUCUUUUGUCUCAACUGUCUUGGCUGCAAUAAAGAUAAAUAGGAUAUGGGCGUUACGAAAAUGUAAUCGCAAUUUUGAAAAUGUAAAGUUUGGACCAAAUUGUGUACACGCUUUUAGGUUACCGAGUAUUUUAGCAAACACAUCGUAAUUCUUCUGAAAAUUUGCCUUUUAACGUAUGUGUCAAUUUAUUAUUUUACAGAUAUCUUUAAAAUGGCUAAUUACUACCAACUAAUAGCUAUUUUAUCAUAGCGAAUCAUAGUUUCUGAAAGUUAAUAAAUAUAAAGAUUUAUUAACAGCAUGUUCAAAAUCUUAUGCACCGAGAUGUACCGAGAAUCUUAAAUCCAUACUUUAUGCUCCGAGAUUGAAUGCACCGAGAAUCUUAUAAAAUAUAGUUUGACUCUAAAAAUGCAGGAAAAGUAAUCCAGUCACAAACGACCAUACUCCAACUCCCACGUUUGGAAAGGCUUGACACUUAGAAUCCAGUUACUGAAAGGAGAGGUGUAUUCAAUCUUUUUAACCACAGCACAGCCAUCUUUGUUAGUACUCCGGCACUUCACAUGUACAACAAAAAUCUUUCUGAAACCUUAAACGCUGUGGUCCUAAAUGCUGAAUUAAAACAUGGCGCAUAUAAAUUAGAAAGAGAAAAAAUGAUGAAAUGUGAAUUGAAGAAUAAAU